Molecule: ribosomal RNA, 434 nt
Filed under: uncultured Pseudobutyrivibrio sp.
Lineage: Bacteria; Bacillati; Bacillota; Clostridia; Lachnospirales; Lachnospiraceae
Description: partial 16S ribosomal RNA
Rfam family: Bacterial small subunit ribosomal RNA
Source: RNAcentral
ACGGGAGGCAGCAGUGGGGAAUAUUGCACAAUGGGCGAAAGCCUGAUGCAGCGACGCCGCGUGAGCGAAGAAGUAUUUCGGUAUGUAAAGCUCUAUCAGCAGGGAAGAUAAUGACGGUACCUGACUAAGAAGCACCGGCUAAAUACGUGCCAGCAGCCGCGGUAAUACGUAUGGUGCAAGCGUUAUCCGGAUUUACUGGGUGUAAAGGGAGCGUAGGCGGCCAAGCAAGUCUGAUGUGAAAACCCGGGGCUCAACUUCGGGAUUGCAUUGGAAACUGUUUGGCUAGAGUGUCGGAGGGGUAAGUGGAAUUCCUAGUGUAGCGGUGAAAUGCGUAGAUAUUAGGAGGAACACCAGUGGCGAAGGCGGCUUACUGGACGAUUACUGACGCUGAGGCUCGAAAGCGUGGGGAGCAAACAGGAUUAGAUACCCUGGUA